Molecule: small nucleolar RNA, 148 nt
Organism: Meriones unguiculatus (Mongolian gerbil)
Lineage: Eukaryota; Metazoa; Chordata; Mammalia; Rodentia; Muridae
Product: small nucleolar RNA SNORA48
Exons: 1
Source: RefSeq, a predicted model, not a curated record
ACUCCUUGCCCUUGGCAAUGAGACACCUUGUUGGUGGUGGUAUUCUUAUAUCAGUCAGAGACUGAGUAGAUGGUAGUCCUUUGUUCAUUCUGCCUUGAUGCUUGGUCAAGCUUGGUCACCAAACCUGUUUUAUGCCUAGGACACAUAA